GGUAAGAUGACUGAAUUAUAGGUGAUAGAUUGUAAAUCUAUUAAUGGGAAAAUUUUCCCUCUUAUCA
RNAcentral lists this transfer RNA (67 nucleotides) under Oxya japonica. RNAcentral's name for it is "tRNA-Tyr". The record is from RNAcentral. Lineage: Eukaryota; Metazoa; Arthropoda; Insecta; Orthoptera; Acrididae.